RNAcentral lists this ribosomal RNA (446 nucleotides) under uncultured bacterium. RNAcentral's name for it is "partial 16S ribosomal RNA". It matches the Rfam family "Bacterial small subunit ribosomal RNA", at positions 329 to 792 of the family's 1533-position model. The record is from RNAcentral.
GUCCAGACUCCUACGGGAGGCAGCAGUGGGGAAUAUUGCACAAUGGGGGAAACCCUGAUGCAGCGACGCCGCGUGAGUGAAGAAGUCUUUCGGUAUGUGAAGCUCUAUCAGCAGGGAAGAAAAUGACGGUACCUGACUAAGAAGCCCCGGCUAACUACGUGCCAGCAGCCGCGGUAAUACGUAGGGGGCAAGCGUUAUCCGGAUUUACUGGGUGUAAAGGGAGCGUAGACGGUUAUGCAAGUCUGAAGUGAAAGCCCAAGGCUCAACCAUGGGACUGCUUUGGAAACUGUAAAACUGGAGUGCAGGAGAGGUAAGCGGAAUUCCUAGUGUAGCGGUGAAAUGCGUAGAUAUUAGGAGGAACACCAGUGGCGAAGGCGGCUUACUGGACUGUAACUGACGUUGAGGCUCGAAGGCGUGGGGAGCAAACAGGAUUAGAUACCCCAGUA